UUGCUUACGUACUCUUAUCUUUAUGUUUAUUUAUGGAUAUUCAUAUGUUCAUUGUCUAGUUUUUACUACUCAUCUAUAGUGCAUGUAGGUAUCAACUUGUUGUAUGUUAUUGAUCGGAGAUCUUGCAUGUUCUUGUCUUAUAUUAGUAUAACAUAGAUUGGUCGCCAAAUUGCUUGCUGGACACAACGGAAACUAACAAUCUACAGCUAAUUAGUAAUGAUUUAGGUUACUGUGUGUGUGUGUUUGCUUUUCUAGCAAGGAAUUGAGAGAGCUGGCAGCAGUGGAUGUUGAGCUAGUGAAGACUCCAGAAAAAUAGGAUCAGAGUCCUUACAAAUGAAUAGCGGAGAUAUGGACAAGGACUAUGAAAGGGAUAGUUAGUGAAGCUUUUUCAUCUCGUCCCAUGGCAAACAUUAACUUAGAAAUUAAUCAAUUGCAUUGCCACUUAAGAUGUUUUCACCAGACUCAACUAUCAACGAUGUACCUUGUGUUAAUUAGCCUUCUUCCGUAAAACAUUUGAAGGAUGGACGUUCUAACUAAUACAAGGAAAUUAGGCAUGAGUUUUUACUAUAGGUUUUGCCCAUGCUAAAGUUUGUGUUUUGUAAGUGCGUCAAUUGCGGAUAUAAUUUUAAAAAUCUAAGAAUUUGUGGUUAUAAAGAAAAGAUGUAACAAGACAG
This 674-nucleotide long non-coding RNA is filed under the name Brassica rapa (field mustard). RNAcentral describes it as "long non-coding RNA (BRAP_LNC001567)". The record is from RNAcentral. Lineage: Eukaryota; Viridiplantae; Streptophyta; Magnoliopsida; Brassicales; Brassicaceae.